This 293-nucleotide small RNA is filed under the name Sorex araneus (European shrew). RNAcentral describes it as "7SK RNA (ENSSARG00000018134.1)". It matches the Rfam family "7SK RNA", at positions 1 to 257 of the family's 331-position model. From Rfam's summary of the family: 7SK was discovered as an abundant small nuclear RNA in the mid-70s but a possible function has only recently been suggested. Two independent studies have found that 7SK RNA binds the CDK9/cyclin T complex (known as elongation factor P-TEFb). P-TEFb activates transcription by phosphorylating the C-terminal domain of RNA polymerase II. The record is from RNAcentral. Lineage: Eukaryota; Metazoa; Chordata; Mammalia; Eulipotyphla; Soricidae.
AGAAGUGAGGGUGAUCUGGCUGCGACAUCUGUCACUCCAGCCAGGAUUGCUUGGGCUGAUCUGGCUGGCUAGGCCAGUGUUACUUUUCUCCCCAGCCAUGCCGUGUCCAUUUCUCCUUAAGCUGCGUGCUUGGUAGGAAAGGACAGCCUUCCCUUAACGGACACAGGUGACAAGUGUCUUGGGUGGAGGGUAUCCGAGUAGUUGUGCUCCUCUGCUUGAACCUCCAAACAAGCCCUCACACUCAGAGAUACUGUUCCUUUUUUGAGGAAGGCCCUCCCUAGCUGCUCAGAGAG